This is a long non-coding RNA of Zingiber officinale, 325 nucleotides long. RefSeq lists it as uncharacterized. The transcript has 4 exons. NCBI's taxonomy places the organism in Eukaryota, Viridiplantae, Streptophyta, Magnoliopsida, Zingiberales, Zingiberaceae. The record is from RefSeq and is a predicted model, not a curated record.
AAGAAUAGUGGUGUUUUCCCAAGGAUUUCCUGGCAGCAACGAUCCUUGGCUAAGGAUCAACAGAAGGGGGCUGUGAGGAAAAGUGGAAACCACCAGCAGCUACCCUUCACCAGCAGCAAUCAACGGCUGUAAAGACGGCUGUGAAUUUAGGACUUUGACGCGAGACGAGCAUCUCGACGUCGGAUUUGGACCUUUCUAUUGGAGGUUGAGGCUGUCCGGAGGAUUUCCAGUCGCUAGUCCCCCUGUAGAUCGCAAGGAUGCUUGUUUGGUCUUUUGGUUUUUCUUAUUAUACUAUUUAGACUAUGUUUUAGACUUGUAUCUUUUU